Molecule: ribosomal RNA, 275 nt
Filed under: uncultured Helotiales
Lineage: Eukaryota; Fungi; Ascomycota; Leotiomycetes; Helotiales
Description: partial large subunit ribosomal RNA
Rfam family: Eukaryotic large subunit ribosomal RNA
Source: RNAcentral
AUAUCAAUAAGCGGAGGAAAAGAAACCAACAGGGAUUGCCUCAGUACGGCGAGUGAAGCGGCAACAGCUCAAAUUUGAAAUCUGGCUCUUUCAGGGUCCGAGUUGUAAUUUGUAGAAGAUGCUUUGGGUGUAGCUCCGGUCUAAGUUCCUUGGAACAGGACGUCAUAGAGGGUGAGAAUCCCGUACGUGACUGGGCGCUUCGCCUCGUGUAAAGCUCUUUCAACGAGUCGAGUUGUUUGGGAAUGCAGCUCAAAAUGGGUGGUAAUUACAUUCUA